RNAcentral lists this ribosomal RNA (800 nucleotides) under Halomonas sp. K106. RNAcentral's name for it is "bacterial SSU rRNA". It matches the Rfam family "Bacterial small subunit ribosomal RNA", at positions 59 to 856 of the family's 1533-position model. Lineage: Bacteria; Pseudomonadati; Pseudomonadota; Gammaproteobacteria; Oceanospirillales; Halomonadaceae. The record is from RNAcentral.
CAGUCGAGCGGUAACAGAUCUAGCUUGCUACACGCUGACGAGCGGCGGACGGGUGAGUAAUGCAUAGGAAUCUGCCCGAUAGUGGGGGAUAACCUGGGGAAACCCAGGCUAAUACCGCAUACGUCCUACGGGAGAAAGGGGGCUUCGGCUCCCGCUAUUGGAUGAGCCUAUGUCGGAUUAGCUAGUUGGUAAGGUAAUGGCUUACCAAGGCAACGAUCCGUAGCUGGUCUGAGAGGAUGAUCAGCCACAUCGGGACUGAGACACGGCCCGAACUCCUACGGGAGGCAGCAGUGGGGAAUAUUGGACAAUGGGGGCAACCCUGAUCCAGCCAUGCCGCGUGUGUGAAGAAGGCCCUCGGGUUGUAAAGCACUUUCAGCGAGGAAGAACGCCUAUCGGUUAAUACCCGGUAGGAAAGACAUCACUCGCAGAAGAAGCACCGGCUAACUCCGUGCCAGCAGCCGCGGUAAUACGGAGGGUGCAAGCGUUAAUCGGAAUUACUGGGCGUAAAGCGCGCGUAGGUGGCUUGAUAAGCCGGUUGUGAAAGCCCCGGGCUCAACCUGGGAACGGCAUCCGGAACUGUCAGGCUAGAGUGCAGGAGAGGAAGGUAGAAUUCCCGGUGUAGCGGUGAAAUGCGUAGAGAUCGGGAGGAAUACCAGUGGCGAAGGCGGCCUUCUGGACUGACACUGACACUGAGGUGCGAAAGCGUGGGUAGCAAACAGGAUUAGAUACCCUGGUAGUCCACGCCGUAAACGAUGUCGACCAGCCGUUGGGUGCCUAGAGCACUUUGUGGCGAAGUUAAC